RNAcentral lists this ribosomal RNA (468 nucleotides) under uncultured bacterium. Its description in RNAcentral is "partial 16S ribosomal RNA". It matches the Rfam family "Bacterial small subunit ribosomal RNA", at positions 28 to 507 of the family's 1533-position model. The record is from RNAcentral.
GACGAACGCUGGCGGCGUGCUUAACACAUGCAAGUCGAACGGAAAGGCCCUGCUUUUGUGGGGUGCUCGAGUGGCGAACGGGUGAGUAACAAGUGAGUAACCUGCCCUUGACUGUGGGAUAACUUCAGGAAACUGGGGCUAAUACCGGAUAGGAGCUCCUGAUGCAUGGUGGGGGUUGGAAAGUUUGGGCGGUUGGGGGUGGACUCGCGGCUGAUCAGCUUGUUGGUGGGGUAGUGGCUAACCAAGGCAUUGGCGGGUAGCCGGCCUGGGAGGGUGACCGGCCACAUUGGGACUGCGGUACGGCCCAGACUCCUACAGGAGGCAACGGUGGGGAAUAUUGUACAAUGGGCGGGAGCCUGAUGCAGCAAUGCCGCGUGCGUGAUGACGGCCUUCGGGUUGUAAACCGCUUUCGCCUGUGACGAAGCGUUAGUGACGUUAAUGGGUAAAUAAGCACCGGCUAACUACGUG